This 2485-nucleotide ribosomal RNA is filed under the name Listeria monocytogenes. Its description in RNAcentral is "partial 23S ribosomal RNA". It matches the Rfam family "Bacterial large subunit ribosomal RNA", at positions 444 to 2925 of the family's 2925-position model. Lineage: Bacteria; Bacillati; Bacillota; Bacilli; Caryophanales; Listeriaceae. The record is from RNAcentral.
CCGGGAGGACCAUCUCCCAAGGCUAAAUACUCCCUAGUGACCGAUAGUGAACCAGUACCGUGAGGGAAAGGUGAAAAGCACCCCGGAAGGGGAGUGAAACAGUUCCUGAAACCGUGUGCCUACAAGUAGUUAGAGCCCGUUAAUGGGUGAUAGCGUGCCUUUUGUAGAAUGAACCGGCGAGUUACGAUUUGUUGCAAGGUUAAGCGGAAAAAGCGGAGCCGUAGCGAAAGCGAGUCUGAAUAGGGCGCAUAAGUAACAGGUCGUAGACCCGAAACCAGGUGAUCUACCCAUGUCCAGGAUGAAGGUAAGGUAAUACUUACUGGAGGUCCGAACCCACGCACGUUGAAAAGUGCGGGGAUGAGGUGUGGGUAGCGGAGAAAUUCCAAUCGAACUUGGAGAUAGCUGGUUCUCUCCGAAAUAGCUUUAGGGCUAGCCUCGAGGUAAAGAGUCAUGGAGGUAGAGCACUGUUUGGACUAGGGGCCCUUCUCGGGUUACCGAAUUCAGAUAAACUCCGAAUGCCAUGUACUUAUACUCGGGAGUCAGACUGCGAGUGAUAAGAUCCGUAGUCGAAAGGGAAACAGCCCAGACCACCAGUUAAGGUCCCCAAAUAUAUGUUAAGUGGAAAAGGAUGUGGGGUUGCUUAGACAACCAGGAUGUUGGCUUAGAAGCAGCCACCAUUGAAAGAGUGCGUAAUAGCUCACUGGUCGAGUGACCCCGCGCCGAAAAUGUACCGGGGCUAAACAUAUUACCGAAACUGUGGAUGAACCUCUUUAGAGGUUCGUGGUAGGAGAGCGUUCUAAGGGCGGUGAAGUCAGACCGGAAGGACUGGUGGAGCGCUUAGAAGUGAGAAUGCCGGUAUGAGUAGCGAAAGAAGGGUGAGAAUCCCUUCCACCGAAUAUCUAAGGUUUCCUGAGGAAGGCUCGUCCGCUCAGGGUUAGUCGGGACCUAAGCCGAGGCCGAUAGGCGUAGGCGAUGGACAACAGGUAGAGAUUCCUGUACCAGUGCUAAUUGUUUAACCGAUGGGGUGACACAGAAGGAUAGGGAAUCGCACGAAUGGAAAUGUGCGUCCAAGCAGUGAGUGUGAGAAGUAGGCAAAUCCGCUUCUCGCGAAGCAUGAGCUGUGAUGGGGAAGGAAAUUAAGUACGGAAGUUCCUGAUUUCACGCUGUCAAGAAAAGCCUCUAGGAAGAGUAGUACUGCCCGUACCGCAAACCGACACAGGUAGAUGAGGAGAGAAUCCUAAGGUGAGCGAGAGAACUCUCGUUAAGGAACUCGGCAAAAUGACCCCGUAACUUCGGGAGAAGGGGUGCUCUAUUAGGGUGCAAGCCCGAGAGAGCCGCAGUGAAUAGGCCCAGGCGACUGUUUAGCAAAAACACAGGUCUCUGCAAAACCGUAAGGUGACGUAUAGGGGCUGACGCCUGCCCGGUGCUGGAAGGUUAAGAGGAGUGCUUAGCUUCGGCGAAGGUACGAAUUGAAGCCCCAGUAAACGGCGGCCGUAACUAUAACGGUCCUAAGGUAGCGAAAUUCCUUGUCGGGUAAGUUCCGACCCGCACGAAAGGCGCAACGAUCUGGGCACUGUCUCAACGAGAGACUCGGUGAAAUUAUAGUACCUGUGAAGAUGCAGGUUACCCGCGACAGGACGGAAAGACCCCGUGGAGCUUUACUGCAACCUGAUAUGGAAUGUUUGUACCGCUUGUACAGGAUAGGUAGGAGCCGAAGAGACGUGUGCGCUAGCAUACGAGGAGGCAAUGGUGGGAUACUACCCUGGCUGUAUGACCAUUCUAACCCGCCACGCUUAGCGCGUGGGGAGACAGUGUCAGGUGGGCAGUUUGACUGGGGCGGUCGCCUCCUAAAGAGUAACGGAGGCGCCCAAAGGUUCCCUCAGAAUGGAUGGAAAUCAUUCGCAGAGUGUAAAGGCACAAGGGAGCUUGACUGCGAGACUGACAAGUCGAGCAGGGACGAAAGUCGGGCUUAGUGAUCCGGUGGUUCCGCAUGGAAGGGCCAUCGCUCAACGGAUAAAAGCUACCCCGGGGAUAACAGGCUUAUCUCCCCCAAGAGUCCACAUCGACGGGGAGGUUUGGCACCUCGAUGUCGGCUCGUCGCAUCCUGGGGCUGUAGUCGGUCCCAAGGGUUGGGCUGUUCGCCCAUUAAAGCGGCACGCGAGCUGGGUUCAGAACGUCGUGAGACAGUUCGGUCCCUAUCCGUCGCGGGCGCAGGAAAUUUGAGAGGAGCUGUCCUUAGUACGAGAGGACCGGGAUGGACACACCGCUGGUGUACCAGUUGUUCCGCCAGGAGCAUCGCUGGGUAGCUAUGUGUGGCAGGGAUAAACGCUGAAAGCAUCUAAGCGUGAAGCCCCCCUCAAGAUGAGAUUUCCCAUUUCUUCGGAAAGUAAGAUCCCUGAAAGAUGAUCAGGUAGAUAGGUUUGGAGUGGAAGUGUAGCGAUACAUGGAGCGGACAAAUACUAAUCGAUCGAGGACUUAACCAAAA